ACGUCCCAACAAGCCGAUAAUCGGUACGGGUUGUGAGAGCAAGAGCCCGGAGAUGGAUUCUGAGACACGAAUCCAGGUCCUACGGGGCGCAGCAGGCGCGAAAACUUUACACUGCGCGAAAGCGCGAUAAGGGGACCUCGAGUGCGUGCGCAAAGCGUACGCUUUUCAGAUGCCUAAAAAGCAUCUGGAAUAAGGGCCGGGCAAGACCGGUGCCAGCCGCCGCGGUAACACCGGCGGCUCAAGUGGUGGCCGCUAUUAUUGGGCUUAAAGGGUCCGUAGCCGGACCAGUUAGUCCCUUGGGAAAUCUUACGGCUUAACCGUAAGGCUGCCAAUGGAUACUGCUGGUCUUGGGACCGGGAGAGGCAAGAGGUACCUCAGGGGUAGGAGUGAAAUCCUGUAAUCCUUGAGGGACCGCCAGUGGCGAAGGCGUCUUGCUAGAACGGGUCCGACGGUGAGGGACGAAAGCUAGGGGCACGAACCGGAUUAGAUACCCGGGUAGCCCUAGCCGUAAACGAUGCGAGCUAGGUGUCACGUGGAUUGCGAAUCCAUGUGGUGCCGAAGGGAAACCGUGAAGCUCGCCGCCUGGGAAGUACGGCCGCAAGGCUGAAACUUAAAGGAAUUGGCGGGGGAGCAC
RNAcentral lists this ribosomal RNA (634 nucleotides) under uncultured euryarchaeote. RNAcentral's name for it is "bacterial SSU rRNA". It matches the Rfam family "Archaeal small subunit ribosomal RNA", at positions 244 to 879 of the family's 1478-position model. Lineage: Archaea; Methanobacteriati; Methanobacteriota. The record is from RNAcentral.